This 82-nucleotide transfer RNA is filed under the name Dreissena polymorpha. Its description in RNAcentral is "tRNA-Ser". It matches the Rfam family "tRNA". Rfam says of the family: Transfer RNA (tRNA) molecules are approximately 80 nucleotides in length. Their secondary structure includes four short double-helical elements and three loops (D, anti-codon, and T loops). The record is from RNAcentral. Lineage: Eukaryota; Metazoa; Mollusca; Bivalvia; Myida; Dreissenidae.
AUUGGCGUGGCCGAGUGGUUAAGGCGAUUAACAAGAAAUCUUUUGGGAUCUUUCCGCGCAGGUUCGAAUCCUGCCGACAUCG